Molecule: transfer RNA, 64 nt
Filed under: Trifolium strictum
Lineage: Eukaryota; Viridiplantae; Streptophyta; Magnoliopsida; Fabales; Fabaceae
Description: tRNA-Met
Source: RNAcentral
AGCAACCUGGUAGCUCGUAAGGCCCAUAACCUUGAGGUCACGGGUUCAAAUAUCGUCUCCGGAA